AGAGUUUGAUCCUGGCUCAGGAUGAACGCUAGCGACAGGCUUAACACAUGCAAGUCGAGGGGCAGCAUAAAAGUAGCAAUACAACUGGUGGCGACCGGCGCGCGGGUGAGUAACGCGUAUGCAACCUACCUAUCAGAGGGGAAUAACCCGGCGAAAGUCGGACUAAUACCGCAUAAAACAGGGGCACCGCAUGGUGAUAUUUGUUAAAGAAAUUCGCUGAUAGAUGGGCAUGCGUUCCAUUAGGUAGUUGGUGAGGUAACGGCUCACCAAGCCGACGAUGGAUAGGGGAACUGAGAGGUUGGUCCCCCACACUGGUACUGAGACACGGACCAGACUCCUACGGGAGGCAGCAGUGAGGAAUAUUGGUCAAUGGGCGGGAGCCUGAACCAGCCAAGUCGCGUGAAGGAAGAAGGAUCUAUGGUUCGUAAACUUCUUUUGCAGGGGAAUAAAGUGCGGGACGUGUCCUGUUUUGUAUGUACCCUGAGAAUAAGGAUCGGCUAACUCCGUGCCAGCAGCCGCGGUAAUACGGAGGAUCCGAGCGUUAUCCGGAUUUAUUGGGUUUAAAGGGUGCGUAGGUGGUUUGAUAAGUCAGCGGUGAAAGUUUGCAGCUUACUGUAAAAUGCCGUUGAAACUGUCGGACUUGAGUGUAAUGAGGUAGGCGGAAUGSKUGUGUAGCGUGAAAUGCAUAGAUWUCACGCAGA
Molecule: ribosomal RNA, 701 nt
Filed under: uncultured Bacteroides sp.
Lineage: Bacteria; Pseudomonadati; Bacteroidota; Bacteroidia; Bacteroidales; Bacteroidaceae
Description: bacterial SSU rRNA
Rfam family: Bacterial small subunit ribosomal RNA
Source: RNAcentral